This 492-nucleotide ribosomal RNA is filed under the name uncultured bacterium. RNAcentral describes it as "partial 16S ribosomal RNA". It matches the Rfam family "Bacterial small subunit ribosomal RNA", at positions 29 to 507 of the family's 1533-position model. The record is from RNAcentral.
AGUGAACGCUGGCGGUAGGCCUAACACAUGCAAGUCGAACGGCAGCACAGUAAGAGCUUGCUCUUACGGGUGGCGAGUGGCGGACGGGUGAGGAAUACAUCGGAAUCUACUUUUUCGUGGGGGAUAACGUAGGGAAACUUACGCUAAUACCGCAUACGACCUACGGGUGAAAGCAGGGGAUCUUCGGACCUUGCGCGAUUGAAUGAGCCGAUGUCGGAUUAGCUAGUUGGCGAGGUAAAGGCCCACCAAGGCGACGAUCCGUAGCUGGUCUGAGAGGAUGAUCGGCCACACUGGAACUGAGACACGGUCCAGACUCCUACGGGAGGCAGCAGUGGGGAAUCUUAGGCAAUGGGCGAAAGCCUGACGGAGCAAUGCCGCGUGAGUGAAGAAGGCCUUCGGAUCGUAAAGCUCUGUUAUUAGGAAAGAAAAAAUGCGGAAGAAUACAUGCCUGUCCUGACGGUACCUAAUGAAAAAGCAACGGCUAACUUCGUG